This 253-nucleotide ribosomal RNA is filed under the name uncultured prokaryote. RNAcentral describes it as "partial 16S ribosomal RNA". It matches the Rfam family "Bacterial small subunit ribosomal RNA", at positions 524 to 776 of the family's 1533-position model. The record is from RNAcentral.
UACGGAGGGGGCGAGCGUUGUCCGAAGUUACUGGGCGUAAAGAGCGCGUAGGCGGGAGAGCAAGUCUGCUGUGAAAGCCUGGAGCUUAACUCCAGAGGGUCGGUGGAUACUGCUUUUCUUGAAGGUGCGAGGGGGAGAUGGAAUUACCGGUGUAGCGGUGAAAUGCGUAGAUAUCGGAAGGAACACCAGUGGCGAAAGCGACUUCCUGGUCCAAUACUGACGUUCAUGUGCGAAAGCGUGGGGAGCAAACAGG